GGGUCGGUCCGGCCCCCGAGUUGUAAUUUGCAGAGGAUGUUUCGGGUGCGGCGCGGGUCUAAGUCCUUUGGAACAGGGCGUCAGAGAGGGUGAGAAUCCCGUAUGCGACCCGCGACCAACCNCCCUAUGAAACCCCUUCGACGAGUCGAGUUGUUUGGGAAUGCAGCUCAAAAUGGGUGGUAAAUUUCAUCUAAAGCUAAAUACCGGCCAGAGACCGAUAGCGCACAAGUAGAGUGAUCGAAAGAUGAAAAGCACUUUGGAAAGAGAGUCAAACAGUACGUGAAAUUGUUGAAAGGGAAGCGCUUGCGACCAGACCUGUCCGGGGGCGAUCAACCUCCGUUCUCGGGGGUGCACUCGCCCGCGAUCAGGCCAGCAUCGGUUCGGGCGGUCGGAUACAGGCCUUGGGAAUGUAGCUUCCUCCGGGGAGUCUUAUAGCCCUCGGUGCAAUGCGGCCAGCCCGGACCGAGGACCGCGCUUCGGCUAGGAUGCUGGCGUAAUGGUCGUAAGCGACCCGUCUUGAAACACGGACCAAGGAGUCUAACAUCUAUGCGAGUGUUUGGGUAUCAAACCCAUACGCGGAAUGAAAGUGAACGGAGGUGAGAACCCUGAAGGGCGCAUCAUCGACCGAUCCAGAUGUCUUCGGAUGGAUUUGAGUACGAGCAUAGCUGUUGGGACCCGAAAGAUGGUGAACUAUGCCUGAAUAGGGUGAAGCCAGAGGAAACUCUGGUGGAGGCUCGCAGCGGUUCUGACGUGCAAAUCGAUCGUCAAAUUUGGGUAUAGGGGCGAAAGACUAAUCGAACCAUCUAGUAGCUGGUUCCUGCCGAAGUUUCCCUCAGGAUAGCAG
This 844-nucleotide ribosomal RNA is filed under the name Stereocaulon areolatum. RNAcentral describes it as "partial 28S ribosomal RNA". It matches the Rfam family "Eukaryotic large subunit ribosomal RNA", at positions 124 to 984 of the family's 3401-position model. The record is from RNAcentral. Lineage: Eukaryota; Fungi; Ascomycota; Lecanoromycetes; Lecanorales; Stereocaulaceae.